Molecule: ribosomal RNA, 492 nt
Filed under: uncultured bacterium
Lineage: Bacteria
Description: partial 16S ribosomal RNA
Rfam family: Bacterial small subunit ribosomal RNA
Source: RNAcentral
AGUGAACGCUGGCGGUAGGCCUAGCACAUGCAAGUCGAACGGCAGCACAGUAAGAGCUUGCUCUUACGGGUGGCGAGUGGCGGACGGGUGAGGAAUACAUCGGAAUCUACUUUUUCGUGGGGGAUAACGUAGGGAAACUUACGCUAAUACCGCAUACGACCUACGGGUGAAAGCAGGGGAUCUUCGGACCUUGCGCGAUUGAAUGAGCCGAUGUCGGAUUAGCUAGUUGGCGGGGUAAAGGCCCACCAAGGCGACGAUCCGUAGCUGGUCUGAGAGGAUGAUAGGCCACAUUGGAACUGGGACACGGUCCAGACUCCUACGGGAGGCAGCAGUGGGGAAUAUUGGACAAUGGGCGCAAGCCUGAUCCAGCCAUACCGCGUGGGUGAAGAAGGCCUUGGGGUUGUAAAGCCCUUUUGUUGGGAAAGAAAAGCAGCAGGUUAAUACCACGCUGUUCUGACGGUACCCAAAGAAUAAGCACCGGCUAACUUCGUG